Amphiprion ocellaris (clown anemonefish) is the source of this 1427-nucleotide long non-coding RNA. Lineage: Eukaryota; Metazoa; Chordata; Actinopteri; Pomacentridae. The record is from Ensembl.
GACAAAAAGAACAGUCCAAUGGCAGGAGGUUCCUACUUCGUUUGGAUUCUUCUCCUUCUAACCUGCGUCUUUUAUACUUUGGACAGCAGUCAUGUUCAUCAGGAUCUCAGGACUUUAGCCAGUCAGAGAGGAGAUUCAGAUGUGGCCCAUCUCCCUUCACAACGCCCAUCAAGUCAAGCUUGCACUGACCAGUUCACGUCGCUGAACAGGCAGCUUCAGCAGACAUCUCUCCAAAAAAGCCAGUUAGGUGAAGAAGCCUUUGUGUUGCGGGGGGAGGUCAGACAGCUGAAACUGCAACUUGCCACAUGCAGUGCGACUGCCUCAGCUAUUACCAACUCGUAUCAAACACAACUGCAGUCAAAAUUGAAACAGCAGCUUGAGAUAUUUGACAAUGAUGCAUUUCUAAUUCUGAAAGUCAUGGCGCUCACCAGUGAGGUUAAUGCUUUACAGAAGAAGGUCACACUUGCUGCAAAUUCUACUGAAAUCAGUGAGCUGCAGAGAGAGUUGGAAGAGAAGAGCGCUGAACUGAACGUUAAGAAACAGCAAAUAGAAGAAAACAUCACAAACUCAACUCUCAUUCUUCAGAUAAUCUCACUGCAAAAUCAGAUCUGGGAUUUACAAGAGACACAGUCAAGACGAGCAGAAACUGGCCUUCCGUCUGACAAGAGAAUUCUGGCUCUACAAGAGCAACUGGACAGGAAGAUCAGUGAGCUGCGAGGCUCAGCAGAUGUCAUCUCAGCCAUGCUGGAGCUGAUUUCUGUGCGCCAUAAGAUUAGAGUGUUACAGAGGAGGAUCAGUGUCCACAUUGAGGAAUCCAGAACGAAUGUUGCCGGACGAGUUGGAACGUCUGGAACAGCUGAUGAUGAACGCCACAAAGAUAAGCAAUUCCCAACUUAGAGAGAUGAGAAUUAUUUUGGAGGAAGAAAAGAAACGACAAAUAAUUUUACAGAAACAACUGGAGGAAGAAGAUUAUGCCCAGGCACAGCUCUUCAUGAACAUCAUCAGUAUAAUGGAAGAUGUGAGAGAGCAGCAGCAGACAGCAUCAACUGGUCAAACCAAAUCUCUUUGGGGUCUGCUUCAAGCCAAAGAAAAGGACUAUGCCAAAGCUCAGACUGAAAUAACAGAUCUGCAGAAGAAACUGCAACUGAAAAGUGAGGAGUGUUCUGGAUCUAAGGACAAAUAUGAGCAGGUAAAAACUGAAUAUGAGCAGAAGAUUGCUGAAUUGAACAGAACUGGAGACUCCACAGCAGCACUCAUUCUGGAUGUGGUAAAGCUGCAUGAUGAGGUGAAGGUUUUGAGGGAAGAGAUCUCCAACUCAGAAGACAAAGACGUGAUCUCAGAGCUCCAAAGGCAACUGGAGAAGAAGCAAAAAGAUCUGGACUCCAAGACUGCAGACAUAGAGAGACUGACUGCCAAUCCAAGAAUGG